AGCUUUCAAGCCAUCCCUUUUCUAAUUCCUUGAUGGAAGCCUAGUUCAUGUUUUGGAAACAUUGAUAACCAUGUGAGCGACGUCCAGAGAAAAAAAUGUUUAGGGGAUACUGCUGCAAAUUAACUAAAAACUCUUUCUUUGAGACAGCCCAACUCUAACCUUGGUUGCCUUGUAUCCCUUGAGGCCUUUGCAGCACUCUCGCGUAGUUCGUCCAGAAGAUCACAGUUCAUCAUGACUCUGAGGUUGUUCCUUGUUCAUCAUCUCUAGUUUAUCUUGGAGCUCCUAUAACAUUUCAUUAUUACACCAUUAGAAGUUUUACAGAAAAUAUAGGUAGAGAGACUCGAGACCAUAAGAGGGAAAAGAUAGUUUUUCAGUAAGAAAUGUUGGAAAAAGAUUUGAUAUGGAGGGGUAGGGAUGAAAGACGAGGGUAGCUAAUACAGGGUUUAGGAGAGAACCUUCAGCUUUUCUUCGAGACAAAGAGCUGGGGUAGACAAAAAUGCCAUAUAUCUGUCGUAACAAACUUAGUCAGAUGGAAGUGCACAAAAGCCACGACACAUAAAAGCAGGCAAAAUACAUAAGUUACCACCUCAACUAUGGAUCAAAUCCUUGUUUCACUUUUUGAGGACGAAAAUAACUUUACACACUCAACCUUUCCAGGGUGUGUCAAAUACACAAUACUUUUGCUACACGGCAUGCGCGUGUAACAAAAAUUGUAAGCGCGUUAAACUGUAGGAUUUUUAUCCCAGUUCUUACUUAAAGGACAUGUGUCAAAAUUUUAAAUUUUUUUUGUUUCCC
This 795-nucleotide long non-coding RNA is filed under the name Nicotiana tabacum (common tobacco). RNAcentral describes it as "long non-coding RNA (NTAB_LNC010396)". Lineage: Eukaryota; Viridiplantae; Streptophyta; Magnoliopsida; Solanales; Solanaceae. The record is from RNAcentral.